This 74-nucleotide transfer RNA is filed under the name Chamaeleo senegalensis (Senegal chameleon). RNAcentral's name for it is "partial tRNA-Leu". It matches the Rfam family "tRNA". From Rfam's summary of the family: Transfer RNA (tRNA) molecules are approximately 80 nucleotides in length. Their secondary structure includes four short double-helical elements and three loops (D, anti-codon, and T loops). Further hydrogen bonds mediate the characteristic L-shaped molecular structure. tRNAs have two regions of fundamental functional importance: the anti-codon, which is responsible for specific mRNA codon recognition, and the 3' end, to which the tRNAs corresponding amino acid is attached (by aminoacyl-tRNA synthetases). tRNAs cope with the degeneracy of the genetic code in two manners: having more than one tRNA (with a specific anti-codon) for a particular amino acid; and 'wobble' base-pairing, i.e. permitting non-standard base-pairing at the 3rd anti-codon position. The record is from RNAcentral. Lineage: Eukaryota; Metazoa; Chordata; Lepidosauria; Squamata; Chamaeleonidae.
ACUUUCAAAGGAAAGCAGCUAUCCGAUGGCCUUAGGAGUCAAAACCCUUGGUGCAAAUCCAAGUAAAAGUAAUG